UGAGGAAUAUUGGUCAAUGGGCGAGAGCCUGAACCAGCCAAGUCGCGUGAGGGAAGACGGACCUACGGUUUGUAAACCUCUUUGGCCGGAGAGUACCCGGAGAACAAGCAUCGACUAACUCCGUGCCAGCAGCCGCGGUAAUACGGAGGAUGCGAGCGUUAUCCGGAUUUAUUGGGUUUAAAGGGUGCGCAGGCGGCAUCGCAAGCCGGCGGUCAAAUCGGGAGGCCCAACCCCCCGCCGCCGUCGGAACUGCGGGGCUAGAGUGGCCGAAAAGUAUGCGGAAUGCGUGGUGUAGCGGUGAAAUGCAUAGAUAUCACGCAGAACGCCGAUUGCGAAGGCAGCAUACCGGCGGCCAACUGACGCUCAGGCACGAAAGCGUGGGGAUCAAACAGG
This 393-nucleotide ribosomal RNA is filed under the name uncultured bacterium. RNAcentral describes it as "bacterial SSU rRNA". It matches the Rfam family "Bacterial small subunit ribosomal RNA", at positions 355 to 776 of the family's 1533-position model. The record is from RNAcentral.